UGCAUGUGUAAGUUUAAAGACCAAGUAGGAUGAAACUGCGGACGGCUCAUUAUAACAGUAAUAGUUUCUUUGGUUAGUCGGUACAAGGAUAACUUUGUGAAUGAUAAAGCUAAUACUUGAGACGAUCCGGGGAGUAUCAAUACUUUUCGGCCGUUGGCCGCAAGGCUGGCGAGAAACGACAUUCUCUUGUGUCAAAGGAUGCCGCGACAAUUGAGGAAAGCGACGCUUUUAACAAGUAACCAAUGGGAAUUUCUGAUCUAUCAAUUUGUUGGUAGUAUCGAGGACUACCAAGAUUAUAACGGAUAACGAGGAAUUGGGGUUCGACAUCGGAGAGGGAGCUUUACAGAUGGCUACCACUUCUAAGGAAGGCAGCAGGCGCGUAAAUUACCCACUUUCGACUUGAAGAGGUAGUGACGACAAAUAACUCUUGGCGCCCUUCGGGGUGACUUGAAGGAAUGAUUUAGAAGUAAAUUCUCUAAAGAAAUCAAUUGGAGGGCAAGUCUGGUGCCAGCAGCCGCGGUAAUUCCAGCUCC
Molecule: ribosomal RNA, 533 nt
Filed under: Entamoeba sp.
Lineage: Eukaryota; Evosea; Mastigamoebida; Endamoebidae
Description: bacterial SSU rRNA
Rfam family: Eukaryotic small subunit ribosomal RNA
Source: RNAcentral